UUUUUUUGGCGGGAAGACUCACUCUGGCCCAGGCUAUCUUGAAACUCACCAUGUAGGUUAAGCUAGUCUGGAACUUGAUUCUCUUCCUUCAGCCACCCAAGUUCAUUCUUUCCUGUGUGUGUGUGUGUGUGUGUGUGUGUGUGUGUGUGUGUGUGUGUGUGUGUGUGUGUGUUGGGGGUGACUAACAGGUGUGGUGCUAAUGACUGACCCUAGGGCCUCAUUCGUGCCAGCAAGUACUCUGACACCAAGCUGUCUUUUUUGAAAGUCUCAUGUAGCCCAUGCUGUCAUGGAAUUCUUGACCCUCUCAAGUGUUAGCAGUAUGGGCAUGCACCUCCAACACUGACAAUCAGACCUACACAUAGUGUGUCUACCAGUGAACUAUACCCUCAGCCCCUCCUAAUCUCCAGACCAGAAAUGGAAGCUGCAUAGUGGCUCAUACUGGUAACCCUAGCACACAGGAGACUCGGGCAGGAGGACUGCCAUGAGCUCUAGACCAGCAUGAGACCCAGCCAAGAGCCGGACUCAGCGUCACUGCACUCUCAGGAUCAACUGUACCGGGGGCAGGGAGUGCCUAGCGAUUUAUCUAGAGGAGUACAGAAAAAAUGUUCGGGUUUUAGGACUCACUACCUGUCACUUUACAAGUUUCUCAAACUGCUGUCUGGAAACCACCAUGACUUCCCCAAUCCUCCACAAAGCCCCGCCCCGAAACCAGACUUGAUUUCAGUCUUACUCUGGACUUGCAAAGAAAGGUGAAGAUAAACUCUUAACAAACUGCUUCGCUUAACAAAUAUAUAUAUGUAUAUAUAUACAUAUAUAUAUUUCUCCAACUGGGGCUCAUACAGUUGGAGAAAUUUCUCAUUCAAAUCUACUCGGCCAGUGGCCUCCGGCCGAUCUAGACCUUUAAAAACCACCCAUCCAUCUCGCACACCUCUCCAGGGCUACCUGUUGCCAUGGUGAUGAGGACGGGCUCCCGCAGAGGCUCCGGCUGUGGUCGCAGCAGGCUAGAGAGGCUGAAGACAGUGCUGGACACGCUGACCAUCAGCCAAUCCCCGUCUAGGGCCCGCGGGCAGCUCUGCUGCGAGAUCAGAUGUCUAGCCCAGUUCGCUGAGGCGGGGAACGGGAUGAAGCGGGUCAUCUCGCAGUGUGGUGCGGGGGCGCCCGAGGGGUACCGCCUGAAGGCAGCCAGGAGCAUCCCUGCUCGGUCUGCGGGAGGGGAUCGAAAGGAUGCAACUGUAGCCCCGGCUGGAAAUGUUGGGACUAUACACAGACCGGGAUGCACGUACAACGAAGUUUAGGGAAAAGCCAGGCUUAUUUACAAAGUGGGAAACUGACCCAGGGUCCCUUCGUGAACUAAAGGGGAGGCAGGGUGGACUCAGGUGAGUCCCGAAGACUCACCAUCCACCUUCAAGUACAGCUUAGGGUCAAGGUCUGGCCGGGGUGGGGGGCCCCUGGGUCCCUGGCGCAGCAGCAAUGUGGCAGGUUUCUUGUUCAGGGCACCCCCACCUGCAUCUUCCACGAACCAGCACUCAAUCGCCUCCAGCCCAGCAGAGACGGCGGGCACCAGGCCUGCGGGACAGGGGCUCCGGUGACCUGGAGGUCCAACGACCUGCCCCACCCCUUCGGGCCCGAGACGGGACCACCUCCCUCUCCUUCCCAGUGUGCCCUUUCCUGAACGAGAAGAAGUGGGGUUCGCUCACCCAAAGCCACAGCGAUGAGCAGGGGCAGAGGCUUCAUGGCGCUGCGCUCUCUAAGUCCCCUCUUGCCCCUUUCACUUUCAUUUUCCUCCAAAGGCCAGCGCGAGGCACCGGAAACUCCCGCUCUGGUCAGAUGAGGCUCGCUGGAGGCUCGCAACCCACUAGGGCCAAAACCCGCCUCCAGUCCUCCAGCCCCUCCGCGCUCAGCACGCCCUCCUGGAUCGCUCAGCACCACCCUCGAGCCCUAGGAGCCCAGGCUCCUCCCUCCCCUGCGUCCUCAGCGCCACCUCCCUUCGACCGGUUACUGCCGCGGUCUCCGGCCUCCCCAACAGGUGCCAGGUCCCAGCAAACACAGAGGGGUGGUCAGGAAGCCAAGUCAAGUGACCAAUAAAUAUUUUAAUCGCCGUUAAGAAUUAAAACCUAAA
Molecule: long non-coding RNA, 2119 nt
Organism: Mesocricetus auratus (golden hamster)
Lineage: Eukaryota; Metazoa; Chordata; Mammalia; Rodentia; Cricetidae
Exons: 2
Source: RefSeq, a predicted model, not a curated record